CAGUAGCCGCGGUAAUACGUAGGUGGCAAGCGUUGUCCGGAAUUAUUAGGCGUAAAGGGCUCGCAGGCGGUUUCUUAAGUCUGAUGUGAAAGCCCCCGGCUCAACCGGGGAGGGUCAUUGGAAACUGGGAAACUUGAGUGCAGAAGAGGAGAGUGGAAUUCCACGUGUAGCGGUGAAAUGCGUAGAGAUGUGGAGGAACACCAGUGGCGAAGGCGACUCUCUGGUCUGUAACUGACGCUGAGGAGCGAAAGCGUGGGGAGCGAACAGGAUUAGAUACCCCAGUAGUCCCUGUCUCUUAUAC
RNAcentral lists this ribosomal RNA (301 nucleotides) under uncultured bacterium. Its description in RNAcentral is "partial 16S ribosomal RNA". It matches the Rfam family "Bacterial small subunit ribosomal RNA", at positions 509 to 807 of the family's 1533-position model. The record is from RNAcentral.